UUGGGCCUACGGGACGCAGCAGUGGGGGAUAUUGCACAAUGGGGGAAACCCUGAUGCAGCGACGCCGCGUGAGUGAAGAAGUAUUUCGGUAUGUAAAGCCCUAUCAGCAGGGAAGAAAAUGACGGUACCUGACUAAGAAGCCCCGGCUAAAUACAUGCCAGCAGCCGCGGUAAUACGUAUGGGACAAGCGUUAUCCGGAUUUACUGGGUGUAAAGGGAGCGUAGGCGGCCUGGCAAGCCUGAUGUGAAAUACCGGGGCCCAACCCCGGGGCUGCAUUGGGAACUGCCAGGCUGGAGUGCCGGGGG
Molecule: ribosomal RNA, 305 nt
Filed under: uncultured bacterium
Lineage: Bacteria
Description: bacterial SSU rRNA
Rfam family: Bacterial small subunit ribosomal RNA
Source: RNAcentral